GGAGAGGUGGCAGAGUGGUCGAAUGCGGUAGACUCGAAAUCUAUUGAAGGGUCACACCUUCCGAGGGUUCGAAUCCCUCCCUCUCCG
Molecule: transfer RNA, 87 nt
Filed under: Leptolyngbya sp. SIO1E4
Lineage: Bacteria; Bacillati; Cyanobacteriota; Cyanophyceae; Leptolyngbyales; Leptolyngbyaceae
Also listed under: 5 other names
Description: tRNA-Ser
Rfam family: tRNA
About the family: Transfer RNA (tRNA) molecules are approximately 80 nucleotides in length.
Source: RNAcentral